RNAcentral lists this ribosomal RNA (274 nucleotides) under uncultured bacterium. Its description in RNAcentral is "partial 16S ribosomal RNA". It matches the Rfam family "Bacterial small subunit ribosomal RNA", at positions 523 to 796 of the family's 1533-position model. The record is from RNAcentral.
AUACGGAGGGUGCAAGCGUUAUUCGGAAUCACUGGGCGUAAAGGACGCGUAGGCGGGUUGGCAAGUCAGAUGUGAAAUCCUACAGCUUAACUGUAGAACUGCAUUUGAAACUGCUAACCUAGAGUAUGAGAGGGGGCGAUGGAAUUAGUGGUGUAGGGGUAAAAUCCGUAGAUAUCACUAGGAAUACCGAAAGCGAAGGCGAUCUCCUGGAACAUAACUGACGCUAAGGCGUGAAAGCGUGGGGAGCAAACAGAAUUAGAAACCCUAGUAGUCC